This 1390-nucleotide ribosomal RNA is filed under the name metagenome. RNAcentral describes it as "bacterial LSU rRNA". It matches the Rfam family "Bacterial large subunit ribosomal RNA", at positions 1433 to 2910 of the family's 2925-position model. The record is from RNAcentral.
AUAUUCCUGUACCAGUGCACAAUGCGAUCUGGGGACGGAGAAACGUAGCAACUACGUACUGACGGAUAUGUACGUUGAGCCGAGCCUUCGGGCAAAGCGAAGUUGUAAAGUAGCUUCCGAGAAAAGCCAGUAGGCUUCAGUUGUGUACUGCCCGUACCGCAAACCGACACAGGUAGUCGAGGAGAGAAUCCUAAGGUGCUUGAGUGAUCCAUGGCUAAGGAACUCGGCAAAUUAACCCUGUAACUUCGGAAGAAAGGGUGCCCCCUCUAGGGGGGGCCGCAGUAAAGAGGCCCAGGCGACUGUUUAACAAAAACACAUGGCUUUGCUAAAUCGAAAGAUGAUGUAUAAGGCCUGACACCUGCCCGGUGCUGGAAGGUUAAAAGGAGAUGUCAUUCGCAAGAAGAAGCAUUGAAUUGAAGCCCCAGUAAACGGCGGCCGUAACAAUAACGGUCCUAAGGUAGCGAAAUUCCUUGUCGGGUAAGUUCCGACCUGCACGAAUGGUGUAACGAUCUGGGCGCUGUCUCAGCCAUGAGCUCAGUGAAAUUGUAGUAGCGGUGAAGAUGCCGCUUACCCGCAACGGGACGGAAAGACCCCGUGCACCUUCACUACAACUUAACAUUGAUUCUGGAUAAAUGAUGUGUAGGAUAGGUGGGAGACUUUGAAGCGGUGGCGCUAGCCAUCGUGGAGUCAACCUUGAAAUACCACCCUUUAUUUAUUUGGAAUCUAAUCCCGAAAAACGGGAGACAUUGUUUGGUGGGUAGUUUGACUGGGGUGGUCGCCUCCAAAAGAGUAACGGAGGCUUUCAAAGGUACCCUCAGCACGCUUGGUAACCGUGCGUAGAGUGCAUUAGCAUAAGGGUGCUUGACUGUGAGACCGACAAGUCGAGCAGGUACGAAAGUAGGAUAAAGUGAUCCGGUGGUUCCGCAUGGAAGGGCCAUCGCUCAUAGGAUAAAAGGUACGCCGGGAUAACAGGCUGAUCUCCCCCAAGAGCUCACAUCGACGGGGAGGUUUGGCACCUCGAUGUCGGCCCGUCACAUCCUGGGGCUGGAGAAGGUCCCAAGGGUUUGGCUGUUCGCCGAUUAAAGUGGCACGCGAGCUGGGUUCAGAACGUCGUGAGACAGUUCGGUCCCUAUCUGUUGUGGGCGUUAGAAGUUUGAGAGGGCCUGACUCUAGUACGAGAGGACCGAGUCGGACGAACCUCUAGUGUACCUGUUAUGGCGCCAGCUGUAGCGCAGGGUAGCUAUGUUCGGUUAAGAUAAGCGCUGAAAGCAUCUAAGCACGAAACUUGCCUCAAGAUGAGACUUCUUUAUAAGGGUCGUCAGAGACUAUGACGUUGAUAGGCUACAGAUGUAAAGGUGGUAACACCAUAGUCGAGUAGUACUAAUUACUC